CGCGUUUCCAGUUGUCGAUUCUGCAAAACAAGCAAAUCAAGAAACAAAGAGGUCAGCUACAACCUUGGAGGAAUGAAGUUGUGUUGCUGAUAGAGGAUGAGGUGUUAAAGACAUCACUUAUUCAUGCUCACAACGAGAAAAUCCUUUCAAAAACCAAUUUAAACUAGAGGUCUAAGUAAAUGAUACAGCAGAAUGUAACAGAGCAACGAGAGAGUGAGAAUAGAAACUGCUGCAGAUCCAUGGAUAGUUAUAUUUUUAUCUACCAAGCUAACAUGGAUAUAUCAGGUCACCUUGAACGUCUUAAAUCAGGUCAACUCGUUCCCCCACCCAAACUCUAAUACUAAAGAUUCUAGCAAGGAG
Arabidopsis thaliana (thale cress) is the source of this 360-nucleotide long non-coding RNA. RefSeq annotates it as other RNA. The record is from RefSeq. The transcript has a single exon. NCBI's taxonomy places the organism in Eukaryota, Viridiplantae, Streptophyta, Magnoliopsida, Brassicales, Brassicaceae.